This is a long non-coding RNA of Bubalus bubalis (water buffalo), 1271 nucleotides long. RefSeq lists it as uncharacterized. NCBI's taxonomy places the organism in Eukaryota, Metazoa, Chordata, Mammalia, Artiodactyla, Bovidae. The transcript has 2 exons. The record is from RefSeq and is a predicted model, not a curated record.
CCGCCCCGCGCGCCCGCUCUCGGCAACGGGGGCCUCGCGCCUGCGGCAACUUCCGGGUCGCGAGCUGCCUGACGACCGCCUGACUCCGCCAUCCUAGAGGGAGUGACGAGGCCGCCGGUCGCCCUCUUCGCCUUAACGCCAUCUCCUUCAUCGCCGUCUUUAAAAUCCUCGACGGGUAGAGGGGAGGGGCACAGACAGGCUCUCGAGUUAGGCAAAUUCUUGGGCAGGCCCGACCGCGGCUAGGACCCUAAAGCUCAGAGCCACUUACGGAAACAGCCACCAGGCGGCGCCUGGAGCCAAAACCAGAGAUGCUUUUUUAGGGACUUGGGAGGCAAAGGGUUCCCAAGGGCUCUACUACGUAGAUGGAGGUGGGUCUCUAACUUAAACAGGUGAAUGGCAUGAACCAUCCCGUUUAUAGGUCGGGAAACCUAGACAUUUAGAGUUUGAGUCAUCAUCCGGAAGAAAAAGAGCCCAGCUUCUCGUCUGACUGCUUAGAGCUUUUGAAGAACUAAAAUGAAAACGAAGAUGCUAAUAUUUCACGCUGGAGCCAGCAAAACUGUAUUUUCCCAAUCGGUGGGAGGACUUUCCGCUUGUGUAGGUUUGCUCAGUACGGUAUUAUCUCGAUUUUACAGAUAAGAAAAGAGCUGUCAGUUUCCUUAAAAGAAAAAAAGUAACGACCAGCCUGCUUUGUUUAGACUGUCACCCCCAGGUCCUCUGCAGUACAGCUGCCUCAUAUUUCUCAGAAUAUAAAUUUUUUAAAAGGUUGUUUUUCCCAAUCCAGUAACUUGCUAACCAACUCUCAACUGAGCAAGUGGAACAUGUGCCUGCAGAAAAUUAAUUAGACACAGAUUCUUCCUCCCAACAAAACUCAAAAAUUUUCAGAAUGGAAUGCUGUAAUGUCUUCCCAGAAGUUCAGAGAUCUUCUGAAGCUCCUAAAUAAGAGGCAUUUGCAUGGCUCCUGUAGGUCCACCAUCUAUUUUAAAACUAAAACUUCAAAACUGUCUCUUGUCCAAAGGAUGAAGUCAUUUUCUUUUUUUAUGCUGUUGGGUCACAUCUAAAUUAUUUGUAAUCAACUAUAUUGAGCAACUAGAGUUUCCAUCAGUAGCAAUAACACCAAACAAAGCACCAACAUUUUAGAAAUCAGAGUUCAAUGAUAUAAUGAUUUUUUUUAAAGAGUUGAUAUCAUUGCUAACUGGUUUCCUUUCAAGACACUGGCAUGUCUAUGUUGCUUACUUUUGUCUACUUAAUUGAAAAUAGUAUCUGUUAAUGAU